This 253-nucleotide ribosomal RNA is filed under the name uncultured bacterium. RNAcentral describes it as "partial 16S ribosomal RNA". It matches the Rfam family "Bacterial small subunit ribosomal RNA", at positions 524 to 776 of the family's 1533-position model. The record is from RNAcentral.
UACAGAGGGGGCAAGCGUUGUUCGGAAUUACUGGGCGUAAAGGGCGCGUAGGCGGCCUUCUAAGUCAUGCGUGAAAUCCCCGGGCUCAACCCGGGAACUGCGUCUGAUACUGGAAGGCUUGAAUCCGGGAGAGGGGUGCGGAAUUCCAGGUGUAGCGGUGAAAUGCGUAGAUAUCUGGAGGAACACCGGUGGCGAAGGCGGCAUCCUGGACCGGCAUUGACGCUGAGGCGCGAAAGCCAGGGGAGCAAACGGG